RNAcentral lists this ribosomal RNA (896 nucleotides) under uncultured bacterium. RNAcentral's name for it is "bacterial SSU rRNA". It matches the Rfam family "Bacterial small subunit ribosomal RNA", at positions 96 to 986 of the family's 1533-position model. The record is from RNAcentral.
CGGCGAACGGGUGAGUAACGCAUCGGAACGUACCCUGUCGUGGGGGAUAACUAUCCGAAAGGAUGGCUAAUACCGCAUACGACCUGAGGGUGAAAGCGGGGGAUCGCAAGACCUCGCGCGAUAGGAGCGGCCGAUGCCGGAUUAGCUAGUUGGUGAGGUAAAGGCUCACCAAGGCGACGAUCCGUAGCUGGUCUGAGAGGACGACCAGCCACACUGGGACUGAGACACGGCCCAGACUCCUACGGGAGGCAGCAGUGGGGAAUUUUGGACAAUGGGGGCAACCCUGAUCCAGCCAUUCCGCGUGAGUGAAGAAGGCCUUCGGGUUGUAAAGCUCUUUCGGCAGGAACGAAACGGCGGGCUCUAACAUAGCCUGCUAAUGACGGUACCUGAAGAAGAAGCACCGGCUAACUACGUGCCAGCAGCCGCGGUAAUACGUAGGGUGCGAGCGUUAAUCGGAAUUACUGGGCGUAAAGCGUGCGCAGGCGGUUUUGUAAGACAGAUGUGAAAUCCCCGGGCUUAACCUGGGAACUGCGUUUGUGACUGCAAGACUUGAGUGCGGCAGAGGGGGGUGGAAUUCCACGUGUAGCAGUGAAAUGCGUAGAGAUGUGGAGGAACACCGAUGGCGAAGGCAGCCCCCUGGGUCGACACUGACGCUCAUGCACGAAAGCGUGGGUAGCAAACAGGAUUAGAUACCCUGGUAGUCCACGCCCUAAACGAUGCCAACUAGGUGUUGGGGGAAGGAGACUUCCUUAGUACCGUAGCUAACGCGUGAAGUUGGCCGCCUGGGGGAGUACGGUCGCAAGAUUAAAACUCAAAGGAAUUGACGGGGACCCGCACAAGCGGUGGAUGAUGUGGAUUAAUUCGAUGCAACGCGAAAACCUUACCUACCCUUGACA